Molecule: ribosomal RNA, 301 nt
Filed under: uncultured bacterium
Lineage: Bacteria
Description: partial 16S ribosomal RNA
Rfam family: Bacterial small subunit ribosomal RNA
Source: RNAcentral
CAGCCGCCACGGUAAUACGAAGGGUGCAAGCGUUAAUCGGAAUUACUGGGCGUAAAGCGUGCGUAGGCGGUUUGUUAAGUCUGUUGUGAAAUCCCCGGGCUCAACCUGGGAAUGGCAAUGGAUACUGGCAAGCUAGAGUGUGUCAGAGGAUGGUGGAAUUCCCGGUGUAGCGGUGAAAUGCGUAGAGAUCGGGAGGAACAUCAGUGGCGAAGGCGGCCAUCUGGGACAACACUGACGCUGAGGCACGAAAGCGUGGGAGCAAACAGGAUUAGAUACCCCCGUAGUCCCUGUCUCUUAUACA